Molecule: ribosomal RNA, 575 nt
Filed under: Colletotrichum gloeosporioides
Lineage: Eukaryota; Fungi; Ascomycota; Sordariomycetes; Glomerellales; Glomerellaceae
Description: eukaryotic LSU rRNA
Rfam family: 5.8S ribosomal RNA (bases 193-347)
Source: RNAcentral
CUGCGGAGGGAUCAUUAUCGAGUUCCGCUCUUAUACCCUUUGUGACCAUCCCCCAAACGUUGCCUCGGUGGGCAAGCCGGAGCCCAGUUCCGUCGCCCGGAGCCGCCGUCUCGGCGCGCCACUUACCCGCCGUCGGCCCACCAAACUCUAUUUAAACGACGUCUCUUCUGAGUGGCACAAGCAAAUAAUCAAAACUUUUAACAACGGAUCUCUUGGUUCUGGCAUCGAUGAAGAACGCAGCGAAAUGCGAUAAAGUAAUGUGAAUUGCAGAAUUCAGUGAAUCAUCGAAUCUUUGAACGCACAUUGCGCCCGCCAGCAUUCUGGCGGGCAUGCCUGUUCGAGCGUCAUUUUCAGCCCUCAGGCACCGCUUGGCGUUUGGGGGCCCUACGGCUUCCGUAGGCCCCCGAAAUACAGUGGCGGACCCUCCCGGAGCCUCCUUUGCGUAGUAACAUACCCCCCUCGCCCUGGGAUCGGGAGGGAUUCCUGCCGUAAAACCCCCCAAUUUUCCAAAGGUUGACCUCGGAAUCAGGUCAGGCAUACUCCGCUGAUCUUCAGCAUAUCAAUAAGCGGAGGAA